GAUGAACGCUAGCGACAGGCUUAACACAUGCAAGUCGAGGGGCAGCGGGUAGAUGAGCUUGCUCAUUUAUGCCGGCGACCGGCGCACGGGUGAGUAACACGUAUGCAACCUGCCCGUCUCAGGGGGAUAAUCGUCGGAAACGGCGUCUAAUACCCCGUAUGAAGCUGGACGGCAUCGUCUGGUUUUGAAAGAAUAUCGGAGACGGAUGGGCAUGCGGCGCAUUAGCUGGUUGGCGGGGUAACGGCCCACCAAGGCGACGAUGCGUAGGGGUUCUGAGAGGAAGGUCCGCCACACUGGUACUGAGACACGGACCAG
This 315-nucleotide ribosomal RNA is filed under the name uncultured bacterium. RNAcentral describes it as "bacterial SSU rRNA". It matches the Rfam family "Bacterial small subunit ribosomal RNA", at positions 28 to 334 of the family's 1533-position model. The record is from RNAcentral.